RNAcentral lists this ribosomal RNA (253 nucleotides) under uncultured bacterium. RNAcentral's name for it is "partial 16S ribosomal RNA". It matches the Rfam family "Bacterial small subunit ribosomal RNA", at positions 524 to 776 of the family's 1533-position model. The record is from RNAcentral.
UACGUAGAGUGCAAGCGUUGUCCGGAAUUAUUGGGCGUAAAGAGCUUGUAGGCGGUUUGUCGCGUCUGCUGUGAAAUUUCGGGGCUCAACCCCGAACUUGCAGUGGGUACGGGCAGACUAGAGUGUGGUAGGGGAGACUGGAAUUCCUGGUGUAGCGGUGAAAUGCGCAGAUAUCAGGAGGAACACCGGUGGCGAAGGCGGGUCUCUGGGCCGAAAUUGACGCUGAGGAGCGAAAGCGUGGGGAGCAAACAGG